AGGGGAGGCUCAGGUUGGAUUUAGGAACAAUUUCUUCUCGGAAAGAGCGGUGAGGCACUGAUGCAGGCUGCCCGGGGAGUCACCGUUACUGGGCGCGUGUGGAUGCGGCAAUGAAGUUCGUGGGCAUGGUGGGGAAUGGAUUGACAGCUGCACUAGGCGAUCUUGGGGGGCUUUUCCAAACGUAAUGAUCCUGCGAUUCUGUGAGCUCCAUGCUGUUCCUUUGGUCCCGUCCCUGUCACCAGAGGGAAGAGCUCAGCACAGCCCUUCUACUUCCCAUGAGGAAGCUACAGGCCCACCAUGAGGUCUCCCCUCAGUACCCUCUUCUCUUGACUGAACAGACCAAGCAACAUCAGCAGCUCUUCAUACCACUUGCCCUCCACACCCUUCAUCACUAGUGUAAAUCUGUUACGGAAGAAAUCUGGAAGAAUCCCAUCCAACGAAUCCCUUUUCAAAUGAAGACUUGAUAGAAGCCAUCAGGAUCACCACUACCACCACAGAAAGUUCCGAGAAGAAGAUGCAGACAUGCCAUUUACUACUGACUCCACCAAUCUUCUCAUUCAGCAGAAUGGUCUGAUGAGAAAAGAAGUGCACAAGCUCCACCUAAAAGACCCAGCAUGUGGCCGCAGCCUCACCCAGCUGUAUUGUUGACCGCAGACAUUUUCUUCUUGGACCCCCUUCGAAGGCAGUGGCAUCAACCCUUGAGUGCAUCACAGUGCUACUUGGCAGUGCCCAUAUCUGCGGCCACAUCUCAUGCCAUUCUAUUUAGAAAUGCCAG
Lagopus leucura (white-tailed ptarmigan) is the source of this 775-nucleotide long non-coding RNA. RefSeq lists it as uncharacterized. The record is from RefSeq and is a predicted model, not a curated record. Lineage: Eukaryota; Metazoa; Chordata; Aves; Galliformes; Phasianidae. The transcript has 3 exons.